RNAcentral lists this ribosomal RNA (99 nucleotides) under Pseudotaxiphyllum obtusifolium. RNAcentral's name for it is "partial 5.8S ribosomal RNA". It matches the Rfam family "5.8S ribosomal RNA", at positions 57 to 154 of the family's 154-position model. From Rfam's summary of the family: 5.8S ribosomal RNA (5.8S rRNA) is a component of the large subunit of the eukaryotic ribosome. It is transcribed by RNA polymerase I as part of the 45S precursor that also contains 18S and 28S rRNA. Lineage: Eukaryota; Viridiplantae; Streptophyta; Bryopsida; Hypnales; Plagiotheciaceae. The record is from RNAcentral.
GAUACGUAGUGUGAAUUGCAGAAUUCCGCGAAUCAUCGAGUCUUUGAACGCAAGUUGCGCCCGAGGCUUGUCCAAGGGCAUUUCCGCUAGAGCGUCACC